This 586-nucleotide ribosomal RNA is filed under the name uncultured bacterium. Its description in RNAcentral is "bacterial SSU rRNA". It matches the Rfam family "Bacterial small subunit ribosomal RNA", at positions 338 to 916 of the family's 1533-position model. The record is from RNAcentral.
CCUACGGGAGGCAGCAGUGGGGAAUCUUGCGCAAUGGGCGAAAGCCUGACGCAGCGACGCCGCGUGGGUGAUGAAGGCCUUCGGGUUGUAAAGCUCUGUGGGGAGAGACGAAUAAGGCAUGGCUAAUAUCCAUGGUGAUGACGGUAUCUCCUUAGCAAGCACCGGCUAACUCUGUGCCAGCAGCCGCGGUAAGACAGAGGGUGCAAACGUUGUUCGGAAUUACUGGGCGUAAAGCGUGUGUAGGCGGCCAAGUAAGUUGGAUGUGAAAGCCCGGGGCUCAACCCCGGAAGUGCAUUCAAUACUGCAUGGCUUGAGUAUCGGAGAGGUUGGUGGAAUUCUCGGUGUAGAGGUGAAAUUCGUAGAUAUCGAGAGGAACACCGGUGGCGAAGGCGGCCAACUGGACGAAUACUGACGCUGAGACACGAAAGCGUGGGGAGCAAACAGGAUUAGAUACCCUGGUAGUCCACGCCGUAAACGAUGGGUGCUAGGUGUCACGGGCAUUGACUCCCGUGGUGCCGUAGCCAACGCAUUAAGCACCCCGCCUGGGAAGUACGGCCGCAAGGCUAAAACUUAAANGAAUUGACGG